GAUGAAGAACGUAGCGAAAUGCGAUACGUAAUGUGAAUUGCAGAAUUCAGUGAAUCAUCGAGUCUUUGAACGCACAUUGCGCCCCCUGGUAUUCCGGGGGGCAUGCCUGUCCGAGCGUCAUUGCUGCCCUCAAGCACGGCUUGUGUGUUGGGCCUCCGUCCUCCUCCCGGGGGACGGGCCCGAAAGGCAGCGGCGGCACCGCGUCCGGUCCUCGAGCGUAUGGGGCUUCGUCACCCGCUCUUGUUGGCCCGGCCGGCGCUUGCCGACACAUCAAUCUUUUUUCCAGGUUGACCUCGGAUCAGGUAGGGAUACCCGCUGAACUUAAGCAUAUCAAUAAGCGGAGGA
This 345-nucleotide unclassified non-coding RNA is filed under the name soil metagenome. RNAcentral's name for it is "partial contains 5.8S ribosomal RNA, internal transcribed spacer 2, and large subunit ribosomal RNA". The stretch from base 1 to 120 matches the Rfam family "5.8S ribosomal RNA", at positions 35 to 154 of the family's 154-position model. The record is from RNAcentral.